RNAcentral lists this ribosomal RNA (373 nucleotides) under uncultured organism. Its description in RNAcentral is "partial 16S ribosomal RNA". It matches the Rfam family "Bacterial small subunit ribosomal RNA", at positions 527 to 896 of the family's 1533-position model. The record is from RNAcentral.
GUAGGUGGCAAGCGUUGUCCGGAAUUAUUGGGCGUAAAGCGCGCGCAGGUGGUUCUUUAAGUCUGAUGUGAAAGCCCCCGGCUCAACCGGGGAGGGUCAUUGGAAACUGGGGAACUUGAGUGCAGGAGAGGAAAGUGGAAUUCCACGUGUAGCGGUGAAAUGCGUAGAUAUGUGGAGGAACACCAGUGGCGAAGGCGACUUUCUGGCCUGUAACUGACACUGAGGCGCGAAAGCGUGGGGAGCAAACAGGGAUUAGAUACCCUGGUAGUCCACGCCGUAAACGAUGAGUGCUAAGUGUUGGGGGGGUUUCCCGCCCCUCAGUGCUGCAGCUAAUGCAUUAAGCACUCCGCCUGGGAGUACGGUCGCAAGACUG